CGUGGGGGGUGCUAUACAUGCAGUCGAGCGCGGGAAGCGAGCGGAUCCCUUCGGGGUGAAGCUCGUGGAACGAGCGGCGGACGGGUGAGUAACACGUGGGCAACCUGCCUGUAAGACCGGAAUAACCCCGGGAAACCGGGGCUAAUGCCGGGUAAUACUUUUCUUCGCAUGAAGGAAAGUUGAAAGAUGGCUUCUCGCUAUCACUUACAGAUGGGCCCGCGGCGCAUUAGCUAGUUGGUGAGGUAACGGCUCACCAAGGCGACGAUGCGUAGCCGACCUGAGAGGGUGAUCGGCCACACUGGGACUGAGACACGGCCCAGACUCCUACGGGAGGCAGCAGUAGGGAAUCUUCCGCAAUGGACGAAAGUCUGACGGAGCAACGCCGCGUGAACGAUGAAGGUCUUCGGAUCGUAAAGUUCUGUUGUUAGGGAAGAACAAGUACCGUGCGAAUAGAGCGGUACCUUGACGGUACCUAACGAGGAAGCCCCGGCUAACUACGUGCCAGCAGCCGCGGUAAUACGUAGGGGGCAAGCGUUGUCCGGAAUUAUUGGGCGUAAAGCGCGCGCAGGCGGUUCCUUAAGUCUGAUGUGAAAGCCCACGGCUCAACCGUGGAGGGUCAUUGGAAACUGGGGAACUUGAGGACAGAAGAGGAGAGUGGAAUUCCACGUGUAGCGGUGAAAUGCGUAGAUAUGUGGAGGAACACCAGUGGCGAAGGCGACUCUCUGGUCUGUCUCUGACGCUGAGGUGCGAAAGCGUGGGUAGCAAACAGGAUUAGAUACCCUGGUAGUCCACGCCGUAAA
This 800-nucleotide ribosomal RNA is filed under the name Halobacillus sp. JSM 102071. Its description in RNAcentral is "bacterial SSU rRNA". It matches the Rfam family "Bacterial small subunit ribosomal RNA", at positions 38 to 806 of the family's 1533-position model. Lineage: Bacteria; Bacillati; Bacillota; Bacilli; Caryophanales; Bacillaceae. The record is from RNAcentral.